GGACUACCCGGGUUUCUAAUCCUGUUUGCUCCCCACGCUUUCGCACCUCAGCGUCAGUAUUGGCCCAGGUCGCCGCCUUCGCCACUGGUGUUCCUCCCGAUAUCUACGAAUUUCACCUCUACACCGGGAAUUCCGCGACCCUCUUCCAUACUCAAGCUCGCCAGUUUCGAAUGCACUUCCUGGGUUGAGCCCAGGGAUUUCACAUCCGACUUAACAAGCCGCCUACGUGCGCUUUACGCCCAAUGAUUCCGAGCAACGUUUGCACGCUCCGUAUUACCGCGGCUGCUGGCAC
RNAcentral lists this ribosomal RNA (292 nucleotides) under uncultured bacterium. RNAcentral's name for it is "partial 16S ribosomal RNA". The record is from RNAcentral.